UACGGGGGGGGCGAGCGUUGUUCGGAAUUACUGGGCGUAAAGGGUGCGUAGGCGGUUCGCUAAGUUGGAUGUGAAAACUCUGGGCUUAACCCAGAGCCUGCAUCCAAUACUGACGAGCUAGAGUUCUGGAGGGGGUAGCGGAAUUCCUGGUGUAGCGGUGAAAUGCGUAGAUAUCAGGAGGAACACCGGUGGCGAAGGCGGCUACCUGGACAGAGUCUGACGCUGAGGCACGAAAGCUAGGGGAGCAAACAGG
Molecule: ribosomal RNA, 253 nt
Filed under: uncultured bacterium
Lineage: Bacteria
Description: partial 16S ribosomal RNA
Rfam family: Bacterial small subunit ribosomal RNA
Source: RNAcentral